AGCAGCCGCGGUAAUUCCAGCUCCAAUAGCGUAUAUUAAAGUUGUUGCAGUUAAAAAGCUCGUAGUUGAAUUUCGGGAUCAAUACGUCGGUCGUGCUUCGGUACGUACUGGCGUCAUUGACUUCUCCCUUCUGACGAACCAUGAUGUCAUUAACUUGGUGUCUUGGGAAAUCAGGACUGUUACUUUGAAAAAAUUAGAGUGUUUAAAGCAGGCUCACGCUUGAAUACAUUAGCAUGGAAUAAUGAAAUAGGACGUUCGAUCCUAUUUUGUUGGUUUUAGGAUCAACGUAAUGAUUAAUAGGGAUAGUUGGGGGCAUUAGUAUUCAAUUGUCAGAGGUGAAAUUCUUGGAUUUAUUGAAGACUAACUACUGCGAAAGCAUUUGCCAAGGAUGUUUUCAUUAAUCAAGAACGAAAGUUAGGGGAUCGAAGACGAUCAGGAUACCGUCGUAGUCUUAACCAUAAACUAUGCCGACUAGGGAUCGGAUGAUGUUAAUUUUUUAAUGACUCAUUCGGCGCCUUAC
Molecule: ribosomal RNA, 520 nt
Filed under: uncultured Glomus
Lineage: Eukaryota; Fungi; Glomeromycota; Glomeromycetes; Glomerales; Glomeraceae
Description: SSU rRNA
Rfam family: Eukaryotic small subunit ribosomal RNA
Source: RNAcentral